UUCUGGUUGAUCCUGCCGGAGGCGACCGCUUUUGGAGUUCGAUUAAGCCAUGCGAGUCGAGAGUCUUAGGGACUCGGCAUACUGCUCAGUAACACGUGGAUAACCUGCCCUAUCGUCUGGAAUAACCUCGGGAAACUGAGAAUAAGGCCGGAUAGUUCACAAUGCCUGGAACGGUUUGUGGAUAAAGGUAGGAUGGGUCUGCGGCGUAUCAGGUUGUAGGGGGUGUAACGGACCCCCUAGCCAUCGACGCGUACGGGUGUUGGGAGACAUAGCCCGGAGAUGGAUUCUGAGACACGAAUCCAGACCCUACGGGGUGCAGCAGGCGCGAAAACUUCACACUGCAGGAAACUGUGAUGAGGGAACUCCAAGUGCGUGCAUUUUAUGUACACUUUUCUGAACUCUUAAUCGGUUCAGGAAUAAGGGCUGGGAAAGACCGGUGCCAGCCGCCGCGGUAAUACCGGCAGCUCAAGUGGUCGUCGCUUUUAUUGAGCCUAAAACGUCCGUAGCCUGUUUGGUAAAUCUGUGGGUAAAUCAACCAGCUUAACUGGUUGAAUUCUGCAGAGACUGCCAGACUAGGGACCGGGAGAGGUGUGGGGUACUCGAGGGGUAGGGGUAAAAUCCUGUCAUCCUUCGAGGACCACCAGUUGCGAAGGCGCCACACUGGAACGGAUCCGACGGUCAGGGACGAAGCCUAGGGGCACGAACCGGAUUAGAUACCCGGGUAGUCCUAGGUGUAAACGCUGUGAACUUGGUGUCGGGGGUCCGCAAGGGGUCCCCGGUGCCGGAGUGAAGAUGUUAAGUUCACUGCCUGGGGAGUACGGUCGCAAGGCUGAAACUUAAAGGAAUUGGCGGGGGAGCACUGCAACGGGAGGAGCGUGCGGUUUAAUUGGACUCAACGCCGGGA
Molecule: ribosomal RNA, 904 nt
Filed under: uncultured Candidatus Poseidoniales archaeon
Lineage: Archaea; Methanobacteriati; Thermoplasmatota; Candidatus Poseidoniia; Candidatus Poseidoniales
Description: bacterial SSU rRNA
Rfam family: Archaeal small subunit ribosomal RNA
Source: RNAcentral